Molecule: ribosomal RNA, 385 nt
Filed under: Conus ermineus (Atlantic fish-hunting cone)
Lineage: Eukaryota; Metazoa; Mollusca; Gastropoda; Neogastropoda; Conidae
Description: partial 12S ribosomal RNA
Rfam family: Bacterial small subunit ribosomal RNA
Source: RNAcentral
GAGCUUGGCGGUGUUUUAGACCUCUCAGGGGAACCUGUCUCGUAAUCGACAAUCCACGUUAGACCUAACCCUUUAUGGCGAAACAGCCUGUAUACCGUCGUCGUCAGGUAACUUCUUAAAAUAUAGCAGUUAGCUUGAGAAUUUUAUUAAUUAAAACGUCAGAUCAAGGUGCAGCUGAUAAAAGGGUGAGGAUGGGUUACAAUUACACACUUGUAAAUACGAAAGGAUAUUUGAAAUAAAAUGACCUGAAGGAGGACUUGAAAGUAAUUUUAAAUAUAUAAAUAGAAUGAAUAAGGCUCUGAAACGUGCACACAUCGCCCGUCGCUCUCGUUGAAAAAUGAGAUAAGUCGUAACAUAGUAGGGGUAAUGGAAAUUGUUCCUAGGC